CGGGGUGUGGCGCAGUUGGCUAGCGUACUUGCAUGGGGUGCAAGGGGUCGUGAGUUCGAGUCUCACCACUCCGACAA
This 77-nucleotide transfer RNA is filed under the name Bacteroidetes bacterium GWE2_42_24. RNAcentral's name for it is "tRNA-Pro". It matches the Rfam family "tRNA". From Rfam's summary of the family: Transfer RNA (tRNA) molecules are approximately 80 nucleotides in length. Their secondary structure includes four short double-helical elements and three loops (D, anti-codon, and T loops). RNAcentral also lists the same sequence under 3 other names. The record is from RNAcentral. Lineage: Bacteria; Pseudomonadati; Bacteroidota.